Neofelis nebulosa (Clouded leopard) is the source of this 904-nucleotide long non-coding RNA. RefSeq lists it as uncharacterized. NCBI's taxonomy places the organism in Eukaryota, Metazoa, Chordata, Mammalia, Carnivora, Felidae. The transcript is spliced from 5 exons. The record is from RefSeq and is a predicted model, not a curated record.
GGCAGUUAAAGAUGAAGCCACUGGGAGUACCCUCCUCUGCUCGAGGGACAGCACUGAGGGACACUCUACCCUCACUCAGCCACCCACAGUCCACUCCUGCCUGGUCCAGCAGAGGAACAAUCAUCACAUGUCAUAUUAGAUAAGUAACGAAAGCAACCUCACUCUGUUUGGCCUGAUAGUUUAAUGUCUUUUUUCCACUUAUUUGAGGAUUACCCGGAACAUCAACGCAGUGUAUACAACAUACAAUCAUCAGUGGUGUGUGCAGUACCUACAAGCCAUAGAUAUUACCAUCUUACAUUUACAGUUGGCACUUUACCGGUUACAAAGCAAUUUCAUACAUACUGCCUCAGACAGAAUCUAAUACCAGCCUGAAAGAUGAAUCAAGGAGGAAUUACUACAUAUGAGGAAAUGGAAGUCAAAAGAGAAGACUGAGGAUCAGAGUUUAAGGAAAAUUGCCCAAGGACAUCAGUCAAGGAAGUGGCUGGAGUUGGAGCCCUAUCCUUCUGGCUCGUAGUCCAGAGCCUUCUCUGUGAUAACACCAGUCAAGCCCACAGCAGAAGGCUGCUAGGAAGAACCAGCUUGGACCACAUCGUGCUGGAUUUAAAGCUAUAAACCAGCCACCAACCAGCACAGGAGGCUCAGAGACAAACCUCUUCUUAUUUGCGGAAGUCAGGAAUUGUGAGCUGACUACUGUUGCACAUCCCCAAUGAGGGUGGCACCUGAGGGUGUGACCUCCGAGUACAGCAUGGCAAAUGUAGGAUCCACUGAAGGAAGAGCCUCUGGCUGGAGCAGCUCUUGGCUGCUGAUCGAGGGUCCGUGGAUGUGUCUGAAGGUGCAGGCCGUGUGGUGGAGCAAAAGUGGCCCUGUCCCGGAUGGUGGACGUCCUGGUCCCUGUCCUGCAUUA